Brassica rapa (field mustard) is the source of this 4636-nucleotide long non-coding RNA. RefSeq lists it as uncharacterized. The record is from RefSeq and is a predicted model, not a curated record. Lineage: Eukaryota; Viridiplantae; Streptophyta; Magnoliopsida; Brassicales; Brassicaceae.
UAGGGUUAAGUAUUUUGUUGUCGAGUUAACAUUGUUAAAAAUAUUUCCUUUCUUUUGGCAGCUAUUAGUAUUUUUAUUUUGAAAAUAUAAUAUGACUUGGAAAAUUAUUAUUAUUAUUUUGUUUCUUUUUUCAAAAACUGAAUAUGAAGUGGUAAACUAUUAUUGGCUGGUGAACUCAAGAAAAAUUCGGUGAUAAAUGAACGAGUUUAGAACGCCAACAUGUUUCAGGUUUGAUUUUUACGCAAAACUUAGUCACACAAAACUUAGUCACAUUGUUCUCGACACUCACAUAUAUAUGAAUCUUUGCUUUAGGCCCGUUAUAUUAAAUACAUGAAGAGAGAAUCUAGCCGUGAGCUAUUCCUUCUGUUUAGUCUGGAUUUUUCCAUAGGUCUGGAGUACCUCCAAAUUAAUACCAAAAAACAUAUACAUAAUAUGAACGUACUUUAAGAAAAAAAUGAGCCUUCAAAAUAUAAUUACAGGUUUAGAUAUUCCUUUGUUGUCUUAGUUUAAUGGUCUCAUCUGACCAUUCAUUUUAAUCAUUUCCCUUGCAUCAUAGUAUUUUUUUGUUGGUUGAAAUUGAAAUACAAUUUUGAAAAUUCGUGUAUAGAGAAAGCCAUGCAUGUAUUUAAACGUCAAAGAUUAUAAUACUUGUACCAUCUAAGGAGAUAAUUUACUCAAAUGAACAGCAAGAAAAUAUGCUAAUAGAUGCAAUAUGGUGUAGUAGAUUAGAUACUAUAAAUGCUAUUAAAGUAAAAAUAGAGUCGGACAAAAUAAUGGACAAUGUACUAAGAAAACAAAUAUUGAUAUCUGCUGUUUUUAUGUUGAUCUUGUGCCGGUAGAGAAUAAAGAAAACCAAAAAUGAUGGGGUGCCUGAGUGAACUAAGGGGUGAAAGGUAUGAGAAACCAAUUGCAUUGCCAUGAUUAUUAAUAUUAUAUUACUAUCCUCUUUUAUAGGUGAAUUUUAUUUUAUUUUUUAUUGUUUAUAAGAUAUUAUUUUAAAUUUAGCAUACUAAUUAAAAUAAUAUUGCAAUUUCCAUUGUGUUUUAGUUGUUGGGUUUUUGUGCUAUCUUUGAUAAGGAUCACACUCAAACUUUUAUAUGUACUACACUUGUAAACAAUAUAAAACAAAAACAGAAAGAUAGGAUGAUGAAAUGUUACCUAUUAAAUAAAUUAAUAAUAUUAACAAAUCUACGUUACAUAUUUAACGCUAUUUUACUACUAUAUUUGAAAACAUUUAAGCUAGCAUUAAUUAUUAAUUUCAUUGAAGUAAUAUAACAGAAAACGUAUCACCAUGAAUUUAAUGUUAGUUUAUGUCUGUGUUAUGAUUUCAUAUAAAAUCAUAACCAUCAACAAGACAUUGUCAACUGCGAUGAAUAUAGAUGCAGCAUGCUCUCAUGUAAUUUACAACCUGGUUAUGCCAUGAUUGAAGACUAAAUUGGGUGAAUGAGAAACGCUCUACCCGCACGGUACAAGGUUAAAAUCAUGGGUGAGACAAUCAGCUUUAUAUCAUGCAAAUCAACGGUCAUACAAUUGCAUGAGUAUGUAGCCAAAAGGUAUUCUAAUGCAUAAUAUAAUUACAAAAUUAUAAAUAGCUUAUGAAAGACUAAGAAUAAUAUGUAGUUAGAGGCAGAUAAAAAAACUUACUCCCUCCGCUUUUAUAUAUAUGACGUUUUGAAACUGUUUUUAGUUCCACUUUACAUGACGUUUUGCAGAAAAUUAGAAAAAAUAUAGUAGCAUUGACUUUAUUUACCCUUUAUAUUAUGCUUUUUAAUUACUCCUUCCGUUCCUUAGUGAUAUAUUUUUUAGAAAAUUUAUUUUUUUCACACAGAUGUAUUUUUUUGUGUUUUUUAUGAAAAAAUUGUAAACAAAAAUUAAUUGACUUUAUUAAAUUACUAUUGGUUCAAAGUUAUUGAGAAUUGAAAAUUACAGAAACGAUACAUUUAUUAUAGUAGUUUAAUGUGUUUUUUAAUAUGUGUGAAAAUACUAAAAAAUCUAUUUCUGUGGAACGGAGGGAGUAAGAGCAGCAUUAUCCCUGAAACCCACUUAAGGGUUUCUUAAAAAAAAUUUUGUCUGAUUAAAAAAAAUAAAUAACGCACCAAUCGCUGGCUGCCACAUGUCGGUGGACCCGCAAACAGUACAAAAAACCACCACAAUCGGUCCUUAAUUCAUGACUUUGGGAACUGGUUUUUAUGGUUUAGUGGAGUUCACACAUUGUUUUUUUUAAAGAAACUCCCUUUUAAAAAUCCCAAUAAUGCUGCUCUAACAAAUAAGACUCAUUUUUUCUUCACGUCUAUUAGUGAUAGAGGAUAAUAAUGGAAUUGUGAAAAUUGUCUUGUUUGGUGUGAAAAGUAUAAAACUGAAUACUAAAGAUCUCUAAUUGUUGGAAAAAAAAGAUCUAUAGUUAAAUUAUUUGUAACAUCUCUCUAUUAUAUAGAAAAAUAACAUAUUUAAAUACAAUAGAAAUAACAUUAACACCAUUUUGUUUUUGAAAAAUAUAGAGAUAUCUUUUUUUAACACAAAAUAUAUAGAAAUAUCUUGAAAAUUGUUUAAGAGGGAUGCAACCUUUCCAACCUCUACUUCCUUAAACAACUACCAUAUUUAAGAUAUUUCAACAUGCAAAACUAACAUUCGAUUCAUACAAAACUGCUAUAAAUACCAAAGUGAAAAAAUAUAGUGUGUUCAAACAUAAAAAAAACAAUGGGUGUUAACUAUGAAUGAAUUUAUUCGCUUGGAACCUUGGACGAUGGAUUCUACAUUUUUUGCACCUAAUCAUUCAUAUUCAGCCUAAUAACAUAAUUUAAUUUUCUUCCAUUCUUACUCUAUAUAAUGAGUAUCAAACAUUUAUGUAAUGGAUUUUUUUUAUAAAUUAAUUGAAGAAAAACUACUUAUGUCUUUUCUGAAAUCAUAAAAUUUUUUUUGAAAACUAAUGUCUUGUAAAAUGAGAAAAGUUAUUUUAGUUAGACAUUUUUGGUAACCCAAUUUGUGACACUGAUAGAAAUUAUUAUUAAUAUUAAAUUUAAAAUAAAUUAAGUAUUUAUAUCAUAUUAAAAUCAUAAAUUAUAUUACCAAAAAAUAACAUUGAUUUAAUUCUAUUUGUCAACAGUCAUUUUUUAAUCUAAUUAAUGAUAUUAAUAUGAUUUAUUCUAAAUACUAAGUUUAUUUUAAUAUUAAUAUUAGUAAUAAUUUAUAUCAAUGUCUUUUUUUGAAAAAAACACAAUUUAUAUCAAUGUCACAAGUUGGGUUACCAUAAAAAUGUCUGACUAAAACAUUUUCUCAUUUUACGAGAUGUUGGUUUUCAAAAACGAAUCUAUGAUUUCAAAAAAGACAAAAAUAAUUUUCCUUCAAUUAAUUUAUAAAAACAAAAUCAAUUAUAUAAAUGUGUGAUACUCAGUAUAUAGAGUAAGAAGGAAAUAAAACUAAUUCUGUUAUUAGGGUGAAUAUGAAUGAUUAAGUGCAAAAAAUUAUAGAAUCCAUCGUCCAAGGUUUGCAAGCGAAUAAAUUCAUACAUCUGUUUUUGCUGCUUAAAGCAUCUACAAUGGGAAAAUGAAAAUCUAACAAUGGAGAUCUAUAGCUAGUGGGAUUCAGGCUAUGGUUCAGACAUAUAUAUUGAUCAAAAUUUUCACCAUCCUGUUUUAGAAAUAUAUAUAUACCAUCUUGAUUCAACUGCUAGAAGACAAUCACUUACUUUCAAAUGUUAUUGUUUUCCUACUAAAAUAAUGGUGUGUAUCCAAUUAAUAAUUUAAGGUUUUAGUCAAAAUAUCAUAUUAUUAAAGAAACUAUCGUUAUCAAUAUUUGUUUCCAAAAAAAUUGUAUAACUUUUUAGUUAUGUUAGCACAAUUUUAAAAUAAUUGAUAAAAUAGUUCCAAUAUAUUAAUAAAGGAUCUUGCUUAUUCGUCUAAUCAAAUUUUUUAUUUAACAUCAAACUUAUGUUGCAUUAAAUUUUUGAAUAAAAUCUGCAACACAACACUACAGAAAUAUGCUUAAUAAAAACAUUUUCAUUGUUGAAAAACUAAUGAAAAUCUCUUUCGUAAAUUUAGCAGUAUGUUAUAAUAAUUUGGAUAGGAUUAAAUUAUAAAUUCUCUUAAAAUAUGUCAGUAAUAAAAGGAUAAAUUUUUCUAUAACUUCUCAUAAGUUUUAUAUUUUCUCAUUUAAAAAAUUGUUCUCUCCUUCUCUACUACUUUUUAAUAUUUCUUCUUUUUGAUUAAUGAAACACUCACUCAAAAAUUCCCCAUAAAAAUGGUCUAUAAGUCACUAGUCAUCACAAGACAACACCAACUAAUUUGGUGUUAAUGGUUAUAUUUAUAUGUUAACAAAGACUUGAAUAUGCACGUACGGCUACCUAUAAACCCAGUAGUGACAACUGACAGGUCCGAUAAUACGACAUGAUCAAUAUGCUUCUUAAAACAUCACUAACACUUAAUUAAUAUGUUUUCUGGCUUUAUAGGCAUUUAUUUACGUUUCGGCUUGUCGACUAAAGUAUAUAGAGUUAAUUAAAAGAAAACACCCUGACGAAAGCAUGUGUCUUCAGAAUUCAACAUAUAUUAUAUCGUCAGUGUCUCGUACGUCAUAAGCCGGGCCGGCUUAGACAGUGAAUGUGACCACUCCGAUACUAAUAAUAUUUAAAAGCUCGAUUAUU